RNAcentral lists this ribosomal RNA (837 nucleotides) under Podospora curvula. Its description in RNAcentral is "LSU rRNA". It matches the Rfam family "Eukaryotic large subunit ribosomal RNA", at positions 48 to 918 of the family's 3401-position model. Lineage: Eukaryota; Fungi; Ascomycota; Sordariomycetes; Sordariales; Podosporaceae. The record is from RNAcentral.
AAGCGGAGGAAAAGAAACCAACAGGGAUUGCCCCAGUAACGGCGAGUGAAGCGGCAACAGCUCAAAUUUGAAAUCUGGCCUCGGCCCGAGUUGUAAUUUGUAGAGGAAGCUUCUGGUGCGGCGCCGUCCGAGUCUCCUGGAACGGAGCGCCAUAGAGGGUGAGAGCCCCGUAUGGACGGAUGCCAAACCUGUGCGAAGCUCCUUCGACGAGUCGAGUAGUUUGGGAAUGCUGCUCUAAAUGGGAGGUAAAUUCCUUCUAAAGCUAAAUAUUGGCCAGAGACCGAUAGCGCACAAGUAGAGUGAUCGAAAGAUGAAAAGCACUUUGAAAAGAGGGUUAAACAGCACGUGAAAUUGUUGAAAGGGAAGCGCUUGUGACCAGACUUGAGCGCGGCGGAUCAUCCGGUGUUCUCACCGGUGCACUCUGCCGCGCCCAGGCCAGCAUCGGUUUCCGCCGGGGGACAAAGGCACCGGGAACGUAGCUCCUCCGGGAGUGUUAUAGCCCGGGGCGUAAUGCCCUAGCGGGGACCGAGGACCGCGCAUCUGCAAGGAUGCUGGCGUAAUGGUCAUCAGCGACCCGUCUUGAAACACGGACCAAGGAGUCAAGGUUUUGCGCGAGUGUUUGGGUGUUAAACCCGCACGCGUAAUGAAAGUGAACGUAGGUGAGAGCUUCGGCGCAUCAUCGACCGAUCCUGAUGUAUUCGGAUGGAUUUGAGUAGGAGCGUUAAGCCUUGGACCCGAAAGAUGGUGAACUAUGCUUGGAUAGGGUGAAGCCAGAGGAAACUCUGGUGGAGGCUCGCAGCGGUUCUGACGUGCAAAUCGAUCGUCAAAUCUGAGCAU